Molecule: ribosomal RNA, 497 nt
Filed under: uncultured bacterium
Lineage: Bacteria
Description: partial 16S ribosomal RNA
Rfam family: Bacterial small subunit ribosomal RNA
Source: RNAcentral
GAUGAACGCUGGCGGCGUGCCUAAUACAUGCAAGUCGAGCGAACAGACGAGGCGCUUGCUCCUCUGACGUUAGCGGCGGACGGGUGAGUAACACGUGGAUAACCUACCUAUAAGACUGGGAUAACUUCGGGAAACCGGAGCUAAUACCGGAUAAUAUCUUGAACCGCAUGGUUCAAUAGUGAAAGACGGUUUUGCUGUCACUGAUAGAUGGAUCCGCGCCGCAUUAGCUAGUUGGUAAGGUAACGGCUUACCAAGGCAACGAUGCGUAGCCGACCUGAGAGGGUGAUCGGCCACACUGGAACGGAGACACGGUCCAGACUCCUACGGGAGGCAGCAGUAGGGAAUCUUCCGCAAUGGGCGAAAGCUUGACGGAGCAACGCCGCGUGAGUGAUGAAGGUCUUCGGAUCGUAAAACUCUGUUAUUAGGGAAGAACAAAUGUGUAAGUACCUAUGCACGUCUUGACGGUACCUAAUCAGAAAGCCACGGCUAACUACGUG